GAUGAACGCUGGCGGCGUGCCUAAUACAUGCAAGUCGAGCGAACAGACGAGGAGCUUGCUCCUCUGACGUUAGCGGCGGACGGGUGAGUAACACGUGGAUAACCUACCUAUAAGACUGGGAUAACUUCGGGAAACCGGAGCUAAUACCGGAUAAUAUAUUGAACCGCAUGGUUCAAUAGUGAAAGACGGUUUUGCUGUCACUUAUAGAUGGAUCCGCGCAGCAUUAGCUAGUUGGUAAGGUAACGGCUUACCAAGGCAACGAUGCGUAGACGACCUGAGAGGGUGAUCGGCCACACUGGAACUGAGACACGGUCCAGACUCCUACGGGAGGCAGCAGUAGGGAAUCUUCCGCAAUGGGCGAAAGCUUGACGGAGCAACGCCGCGUGAGUGAUGAAGGUCUUCGGAUCGUAAAACUCUGUUAUUAGGGAAGAACAAAUGUGUAAGUAACUAUGCACGUCUUGACGGUACCUAAUCAGAAAGCCACGGCUAACUACGUG
RNAcentral lists this ribosomal RNA (497 nucleotides) under uncultured bacterium. RNAcentral's name for it is "partial 16S ribosomal RNA". It matches the Rfam family "Bacterial small subunit ribosomal RNA", at positions 28 to 507 of the family's 1533-position model. The record is from RNAcentral.